Molecule: ribosomal RNA, 586 nt
Filed under: uncultured fungus
Lineage: Eukaryota; Fungi
Description: SSU rRNA
Rfam family: Eukaryotic small subunit ribosomal RNA
Source: RNAcentral
GACUCAACACGGGGAAACUCACCAGGUCCGGACACAAUAAGGAUUGACAGAUUGAGAGCUCUUUCUUGAUUUUGUGGGUGGUGGUGCAUGGCCGUUCUUAGUUGGUGGAGUGAUUUGUCUGCUUAAUUGCGAUAACGAACGAGACCUUAACCUGCUAAAUAGCCAGGCCCGCUUUGGCGGGUCGCCGGCUUCUUAGAGGGACUAUCGGCUCAAGCCGAUGGAAGUUUGAGGCAAUAACAGGUCUGUGAUGCCCUUAGAUGUUCUGGGCCGCACGCGCGCUACACUGACAGAGCCAACGAGUUCAUUUCCUUGUCCGAAAGGUCUGGGUAAUCUUGUUAAACUCUGUCGCGCUGGGGAUAGAGCAUUGCAAUUAUUGCUCUUCAACGAGGAAUGCCUAGUAAGCGCAUGUCAUCAGCAUGCGUUGAUUACGUCCCUGCCCUUUGUACACACCGCCCGUCGCUACUACCGAUUGAAUGGCUCGGUGAGGCCUUCGGACUGGCCCAGGGAGGUCGGCAACGACCACCCAGGGCCGGAAAGUUGGUCAAACCCGGUCAUUUAGAGGAAGUAAAAGUCGUAAUCAAGGUUU